UACGGAGGAUCCGAGCGUUAUCCGGAUUUAUUGGGUUUAAAGGGUGCGCAGGCGGAAGAUUAAGUCGGUGGUGAAAUUUUGCAGCUCAACUGUAAAAGUGCCAUUGAUACUGGUUUCCUUGAGUGUGGAUGAAGUAGGCGGAAUUUGUGGUGUAGCGGUGAAAUGCAUAGAUAUCACGAGGAACUCCGAUUGCGCAGGCAGCUUACUAAACCAUAACUGACGCUCAGGCACGAAGGCGUGGGGAUCAAACAGGAUUAGAUACCCCGGUA
This 269-nucleotide ribosomal RNA is filed under the name uncultured prokaryote. Its description in RNAcentral is "partial 16S ribosomal RNA". It matches the Rfam family "Bacterial small subunit ribosomal RNA", at positions 524 to 792 of the family's 1533-position model. The record is from RNAcentral.